AUGAAAAAGGCGGACUGCGAUCCUCAUGAUCCAGAGCCACUCCGGUCUGUUCAAACUGACCGCUGUGUUCUGCAGCCUGUUUGGCACCAAAGUCCGCCUGAAGAUUUAAUAUCAUUUCCAGGCGUUUCAUCGAUCGUCUGGAUGCAGGGGCUGUGGAGGACUGACCGGGGGGGCUCUCAGCAUCUGCAAAAGAUGAAACCAGAACAUGUCAGCAUUUGAGAUGACUGAACAUACUUUUGCUUUACAUGCUCAUAAAGAAACAGAGUGAAGCAUCAUUUGUGGUCAAUUUAAAGUAAAAGUCAGAUCGCGUUUUUUUUCUGGAGUUAACCCCUUUUUUAAUGCCGGGAUUAUAUAAAAGAUUUAUGUUAAUUGAAAAAAAAAACAGUUUAAAAAGCAGUUUGGAAAAAUUGAAAUGAGUAAGUGGAAUUCUUCUUGAGAACAGUCACCUCUGUGUUUUUGAUAUUUGAAUAAAGAGAUUCUUAUCUGCCACAAGGCUGCAUUUUCUGACUUCACAGAAGUAAGUGAAAACAAAAAAACCCUAUUUUUUCAAAAACCAAACACCCAUCUUUCCUGAAUUUUGACAUUCAGUACCACAGUGUUUAUGUUACUUAUUGUCCACUUUUCGGCAGCAGGAUUUGCACUCACAUCUCUACUAAACCGCACCAGAGUUCACUUGCAAGUAAAUCAAAACCCCCAUUUUUAUAAAAAAUAGUUUUUACUAUUGCUAUGCGUAGAAAAACAAUAAUUUUGUUGUGUUCUGAGAGUACAGUAAUCCCCCGCCCAUUCGCGGUUUAAUAUUCGCGCCCCGCCCAUUAGCGGGUGGCCGCAGAUGACGUGACGUCACAAGCAUGAGGCGCAGAACAGCGCUCAUUCUGCGAAUUUUGAGAAACGAUUUACUCUAUACUUUACUGUAAAGUAUUGUUUACGCGUUUAAGAUGAC
Molecule: long non-coding RNA, 940 nt
Filed under: Oryzias sinensis (Chinese medaka)
Lineage: Eukaryota; Metazoa; Chordata; Actinopteri; Beloniformes; Adrianichthyidae
Description: lncRNA (ENSOSIG00000016078.1)
Source: RNAcentral